Molecule: transfer RNA, 77 nt
Filed under: Mycoplasmatota bacterium
Lineage: Bacteria; Bacillati; Mycoplasmatota
Description: Tenericutes bacterium (anaerobic digester metagenome) tRNA-Ile
Rfam family: tRNA
About the family: Transfer RNA (tRNA) molecules are approximately 80 nucleotides in length. Their secondary structure includes four short double-helical elements and three loops (D, anti-codon, and T loops).
Source: RNAcentral
GGGCUUGUAGCUCAGCUGGUUAGAGCACACGCCUGAUAAGCGUGAGGUCGAUGGUUCGAGUCCAUUCAAGCCCACCA